CAAAGUUCUGUGUCCAGGGAAUCUGUCCCUGAGCUGUUCCUGUGAUUGGCCUUUAAUGGUACACAUGGAAGAUGAGCCAAUCACAGGGACACCUGCUACAUUUCACAGCAGCUGAUAACAAUUGUUUACAUUCUUCUUCUGGGGCUCUGCUUCCCAGAAGAUGGACAAAUGUGAAAGAAAGGAUUUCUAUGAAAAAAUGUCUGCGACAGGUCCCUUCCAACCUGUGAUAUUCUGUGGUUGUGUUCUAGGUUUCUCUCUUGAUUUUCAUCAGUGCCUGGCUACCUGAUGAGCUGGUAGAUUUGAUUUGAUACUGCUCUAGUUGCAACCACAUUCACUGGACUAUGAAUCUUGUGAGGGUUUAAUAUAAAUUAAGAGAACAAUUGAAAGCUGAAAUGAACCCCUGUGGACUGCUGGAAUAAAAAGCAAUUAAAAAAGGGAGGGGGAAGAUGCCAUCUUCUGUAUCCAAUUGUAUGUAUGAACAAGGCCCAUGGGAAUUCCUCCACUGCUGUGACACUCAUUGCCUUUCUGAAGGGUUCAAGUCAAGGAGGUUAUGUCACCAUUUUGUGUUUGCCUGGGAUGUUGAGUACUCCUACCUUGCUUUCAAGUUCAUGCAAAGAGCCAUAAACUGCUGGUGCCCCUUCAUCUCCUCCCCAUAUCUUUUGCUUGUAUUAACUUUAUUGUUUGCCAUGUGUAUUUGAGUCUCUAUUUAUUUUCUGUGGACUCAGAAGUUUAUGAGAUAUUUAUUCUGCCCAAACUCUCUCUGUAUUUUAGAUUCUGUAUUAUGUUAGUCUCUUCAGGAGCCCAAGCAGCUGGCUUAUAUUUCAGCACUGAACAAACAUGUGCCGAAGGUUAAUUCUAGGGGGUUUUUUCUGAGAGUUUCUCUCUGAAUGCUUCAGAUACCAGCCAUAGACUGUAAAUCACUGGAAUCCCACCCCCUGCCCCCGCAUUCAGAUUGAUCCAAGGCACAUUAGCAAAUACUUCUAGGGGUUUAUUUGUGUUUUGGUGGCACGUACAGAUUUGUGUCUCAUUAUUCUCAUUCAAAUUUCUUUACUGCUUUUCUCUAAACAAACAACAUUGAAAACAGCAUUUCAGAAUCGAAUAUUGAGAGGACCAAAGCUACCUUCCGACCACCUUCUUUUUCUCCUGGCACACACUGUUUACAGCUCCAGUCUCUACUUAAAGCAAACUUGCUCCAUAGCUGAGAAGUUGGUUCAUAAACAGUCAAGUCAUAUUUACAAGAAAGCUGCUUAACGACAGUCCCAAGCAAAGGAGGAGAAAAAGCUCUUUCCUGAUUACAAUGAGUUUAACUCUUGUAUUGUAACCUCAUGAAUUCUGUUACUCCCAUCCCUCAGCAACUUACACUUCAGACAGCAGAUGAAUGGUGGAGCUUUGUUGAUGGUUGUACUCGUUGCUAGGGGACAGUCUCAGGGGGGUGAAUCAUGCCAUUUACAGUCAGCCUAAAGGAACAUUUGGAAAUGUCUGAGCUUAGAAAGUUCCCUCUCUAGUCUGUCCUUGGAAAUCGAGUGCUUGGUGGCCGUGAAAACUGCUUUAGAAAUAGACAUGAUGAUAACGAAGGCAUUAAACAUACUGGUGUCUUUAGUAGCUUGUAACUAUGUCGGUAUCUUAAAUCACAAUUCUGGUGCUUUUUAAUUGUUUGAUAAUUAUGUUCUUAGUUAAAAGCUGACCAUGUGAAAUGGUAUCAAAUCAAAAUUAUUUCAAGUCACAUUAAAAUUAAAUACUACAAAUUUUCAUCAUUGCUCUACUGUAAGAAUGCAAUUGCUUGUAAAUGUCUGGAUCUGAACUUUCUCGGAUAUAUUCAUUGGUAUUUAUUUUAUUUUACCUGCUCUGGGAAGGCGGCAGCUUCAGGUACCAUCAGAAAGGAGAACUUGACCUAUAGUAGGUGGGUGAGGUUUAACAUGAUACAUCUCCGGUGGAACACAGGUGGGUGAAUAAAAGUGCUCCCACUAUAAAUGCUAAGGCA
Long non-coding RNA from Zonotrichia albicollis (white-throated sparrow), 1981 nucleotides. The record is from Ensembl. Lineage: Eukaryota; Metazoa; Chordata; Aves; Passeriformes; Passerellidae.